GUCCAUGCCGUAAACGUUGGGCACUAGGUGUGGGGCUCAUUCCACGAGUUCCGUGCCGCAGCAAACGCAUUAAGUGCCCCGCCUGGGGAGUACGGCCGCAAGGCUAAAACUCAAAGAAAUUGACGGGGCCCGGCCACAAGCGGCGGAGCAUGCGGAUUAAUUCGAUGCAACGCGAAGAACCUUACCAAGGCUUGACAUACACCGGAAAAGUGCAGAGAUGUGCUCCCCGCAAGGUCGGUGUACAGGUGGUGCAUGGUUGUCGU
RNAcentral lists this ribosomal RNA (263 nucleotides) under uncultured bacterium. RNAcentral's name for it is "partial 16S ribosomal RNA". It matches the Rfam family "Bacterial small subunit ribosomal RNA", at positions 793 to 1055 of the family's 1533-position model. The record is from RNAcentral.